CAGUAGCCGCGGUAAUACGGAGGGUGCAAGCGUUACUCGGAAUUACUGGGCGUAAAGCGUGCGUAGGUGGUGGUUUAAGUCCGUUGUGAAAGCCCUGGGCUCAACCUGGGAAUUGCAGUGGAUACUGGGUCACUAGAGUGUGGUAGAGGAUAGUGGAAUUUCCGGUGUAGCAGUGAAAUGCGUAGAGAUCGGAAGGAACAUCUGUGGCGAAGGCGACUAUCUGGGCCAACACUGACACUGAGGCACGAAAGCGUGGGGAGCAAACAGGAUUAGAUACCCGCGUAGUCCCUGUCUCUUAUAC
This 301-nucleotide ribosomal RNA is filed under the name uncultured bacterium. RNAcentral's name for it is "partial 16S ribosomal RNA". It matches the Rfam family "Bacterial small subunit ribosomal RNA", at positions 509 to 807 of the family's 1533-position model. The record is from RNAcentral.